This 253-nucleotide ribosomal RNA is filed under the name uncultured bacterium. Its description in RNAcentral is "partial 16S ribosomal RNA". It matches the Rfam family "Bacterial small subunit ribosomal RNA", at positions 524 to 776 of the family's 1533-position model. The record is from RNAcentral.
UACGUAGGGUGCAAGCGUUAAUCGGAAUUACUGGGCGUAAAGCGUACGCAGGCGGCUAUGUAAGACAGGUGUGAAAUCCCCGGGCUUAACCUGGGAACUGCACUUGUGACUGCACGGCUGGAGUACGGCAGAGGGGGAUGGAAUUCCGCGUGUAGCAGUGAAAUGCGUAGAUAUGCGGAGGAACACCGAUGGCGAAGGCAGUCCCCUGGGCCUGUACUGACGCUGAGGAGCGAAAGCGUGGGGAGCGAACAGG